RNAcentral lists this ribosomal RNA (252 nucleotides) under uncultured bacterium. RNAcentral's name for it is "partial 16S ribosomal RNA". It matches the Rfam family "Bacterial small subunit ribosomal RNA", at positions 1248 to 1500 of the family's 1533-position model. The record is from RNAcentral.
GGCGAAGCCGCGAGGCAGAGCGAACCCCAAAAAGCCGUCCCAGUUCGGAUCGCAGGCUGCAACCCGCCUGCGUGAAGUCGGAAUCGCUAGUAAUCGCGGAUCAGCAUGCCGCGGUGAAUACGUUCCCGGGCCUUGUACACACCGCCCGUCACACCAUGAGAGUCGGGAACACCCGAAGCCCGUAGCCUAACAGCAAUGAGGGCGCGGUCGAAGGUGGGUUCGAUAAUUGGGGUGAAGUCGUAACAAGGUAUC